This 200-nucleotide ribosomal RNA is filed under the name uncultured bacterium. RNAcentral's name for it is "partial 16S ribosomal RNA". It matches the Rfam family "Bacterial small subunit ribosomal RNA", at positions 8 to 204 of the family's 1533-position model. The record is from RNAcentral.
AGAGUUUGAUCAUGGCUCAGGACGAACGCUGGCGGCGUGCCUAAUACAUGCAAGUCGAGCGAAUCAUUGGGAGCUUGCUCCCGAUGGUUAGCGGCGGACGGGUGAGUAACACGUGGGCAACCUGCCUGUAAGAUCGGGAUAACUUCGGGAAACCGGAGCUAAUACCGGAUAAUCCUUUUCCUCACAUGAGGGAAAGCUGA